Molecule: ribosomal RNA, 1035 nt
Filed under: Enterococcus faecalis
Lineage: Bacteria; Bacillati; Bacillota; Bacilli; Lactobacillales; Enterococcaceae
Description: bacterial SSU rRNA
Rfam family: Bacterial small subunit ribosomal RNA
Source: RNAcentral
ACGAAGUUGGCGGCGUGCUAAUACAUGCAAGUCGAACGCUUCUUUCCUCCCGAGUGCUUGCACUCAAUUGGAAAGAGGAGUGGCGGACGGGUGAGUAACACGUGGGUAACCUACCCAUCAGAGGGGGAUAACACUUGGAAACAGGUGCUAAUACCGCAUAACAGUUUAUGCCGCAUGGCAUAAGAGUGAAAGGCGCUUUCGGGUGUCGCUGAUGGAUGGACCCGCGGUGCAUUAGCUAGUUGGUGAGGUAACGGCUCACCAAGGCCACGAUGCAUAGCCGACCUGAGAGGGUGAUCGGCCACACUGGGACUGAGACACGGCCCAGACUCCUACGGGAGGCAGCAGUAGGGAAUCUUCGGCAAUGGACGAAAGUCUGACCGAGCAACGCCGCGUGAGUGAAGAAGGUUUUCGGAUCGUAAAACUCUGUUGUUAGAGAAGAACAAGGACGUUAGUAACUGAACGUCCCCUGACGGUAUCUAACCAGAAAGCCACGGCUAACUACGUGCCAGCAGCCGCGGUAAUACGUAGGUGGCAAGCGUUGUCCGGAUUUAUUGGGCGUAAAGCGAGCGCAGGCGGUUUCUUAAGUCUGAUGUGAAAGCCCCCGGCUCAACCGGGGAGGGUCAUUGGAAACUGGGAGACUUGAGUGCAGAAAAGGAGAGUGGAAUUCCAUGUGUAGCGGUGAAAUGCGUAGAUAUAUGGAGGAACACCAGUGGCGAAGGCGGCUCUCUGGUCUGUAACUGACGCUAAGGCUCGAAAGCGUGGGGAGCAAACAGGAUUAGAUACCCUGGUAGUCCACGCCGUAAACGAUGAGUGCUAAGUGUUGGAGGGUUUCCGCCCUUCAGUGCUGCAGCAAACGCAUUAAGCACUCCGCCUGGGGGAGUACGACCGCAAGGUUGAAACUCAAAGGAAUUGACGGGGGCCCGCACAAGCGGUGGAGCAUGUGGUUUAAUUCAAAGCAACGCGAAAGAACCUUACCAGGUCUUGACAUCCUUUGACCACUCUAGAGAUAGAGCUUUCCCUUCGGGGACAAAGUGA